CGGAAAUAGCUCAGUGGUAGAGCACCACCUUGCCAAGGUGGGGGUCGCGGGUUCGAACCCCGUUUCC
This 67-nucleotide transfer RNA is filed under the name Enterococcus durans. It matches the Rfam family "tRNA", at positions 6 to 65 of the family's 71-position model. Rfam says of the family: Transfer RNA (tRNA) molecules are approximately 80 nucleotides in length. The record is from RNAcentral. Lineage: Bacteria; Bacillati; Bacillota; Bacilli; Lactobacillales; Enterococcaceae.